Molecule: ribosomal RNA, 372 nt
Filed under: uncultured prokaryote
Description: bacterial SSU rRNA
Rfam family: Bacterial small subunit ribosomal RNA
Source: RNAcentral
UACGAAGGGGGCUAGCGUUGUUCGGAAUUACUGGGCGUAAAGCGAACGUAGGCGGUGUUCCAUGUCAGAGGUGAAAGCCUGGGGCUCAACUCCAGAAUUGCCUUUGAAACGGGGACGCUUGAGUCCGAGAGAGGGUGGCGGAAUUCCUAGUGUAGAGGUGAAAUUCGUAGAUAUUAGGAAGAACACCAGUGGCGAAGGCGGCCACCUGGCUCGGUACUGACGCUCAGGUUCGAAAGCGUGGGGAGCAAACAGGAUUAGAUACCCUGGUAGUCCACGCCGUAAACGAUGAGUGCUAGUUGUUGGGAAGUUUACUUCUCAGUGACGCAGCUAACGCGAUAAGCACUCCGCCUGGGGAGUACGGCCGCAAGGUUA